AAUAACUUAUUUCAUUAUACGAUUCACUUAUAUCAAUGAUGUGCUCCAACAGUGGUUUGAAUUGGUUUUACUACAUAUGCGGCUGGAAUCAAGCUGAUUUAAGAUAAGAAACCUCCUUGCGUUUGUAUCACUUAAAAGAAGAAUUUCGCGACUAAAAACUAGACAAAAAGAAAUUUGUAAAAGAUUAAUGAUUAAGAACAAAACCCAAGACGCUUUUUUGAAAACUACAAUAUAAAUCUUCAGCUUCCAGCGCAAGAACAGGUAUGCCGAGAUGCGCAGCACCACGAAGAUCACAAUUAGGGCCACAAUGUCGAGUGUAAAGUUAGCGUUAACCAUGUCCAGUUCCUCCAGCGUGGUGGCCAGAGCUGUGCCCUCGAAUCCAUAUCGUAUGUACGACAAAUAUGUGAUCCACCUUAAGUAUACUGGUAUAGCGUCAAAGGAGACAAAGAAGCCGGAGAACAGAAGGAAGGGCACGGACAUCACUGGGGCCAGGAAGACACCGUUCUGAACAUUCAUUGCAGCGCCUACCACCAGACCCACGGACUGAGCAACGAAAGAAAUGAGAAGGCAGGCCGACAAGAACAUGGAAAAGCGGAAUAGCUCCCAAGGUUGUGAAGUGAAAUAAUACACGAUCGACACGUAGAUAACGCAGAAAAUAGCCUAAAAGAAACAAUUAUUUUGUAUUAGUAACAUUCGCUCUACUCAACAGCUGAGUGCAACUCACUUGAAACGGUAAAUCAGCAACUGAUAUAGCCAAAUAGUAGGACUUUAGCGAGUACCAGCGAUUAAAGUUUUCUUUCAACAAAACGGGCAUCUCAAGCGGGACUAGAACACACAAAAUAAUAUAUUAACUACAGAGAAAGGAAUAUCAAACUGGUUUCCUUACAUGAUAGGAUCGUAAUAGUCAUAGAUGUAUACAUGAGGAAAAGCAUGUUAAAGAAUAGGAAUCCCAGGUUGCUCAAAACUUUUGCUCCAUCAUUGCCAAUGUCAUAGUAGAGUGCCCCAAUCAAAAAUCCAACUAACAGAUGGGCAAAUAAACGCAGAUACAUAAGAGUCUAUAAU
Molecule: non-coding RNA, 1062 nt
Organism: Drosophila melanogaster (fruit fly)
Lineage: Eukaryota; Metazoa; Arthropoda; Insecta; Diptera; Drosophilidae
Source: Ensembl